Molecule: ribosomal RNA, 18 nt
Filed under: Uromyces scutellatus
Lineage: Eukaryota; Fungi; Basidiomycota; Pucciniomycetes; Pucciniales; Pucciniaceae
Description: partial 28S ribosomal RNA
Source: RNAcentral
UAAGACCUCAAAUCAGGU